RNAcentral lists this long non-coding RNA (6238 nucleotides) under Homo sapiens (human). RNAcentral's name for it is "non-protein coding lnc-GOLGA4-4:1". Lineage: Eukaryota; Metazoa; Chordata; Mammalia; Primates; Hominidae. The record is from RNAcentral.
CGGGAGUGGCGCUUGCCGCGGUCCGGGCUUGCACCCCGCUGGGCAAAGUACCCGGGGCUGUCACACGGCGAGCUGAGCCCUGGGCCGGCGGGUGAGGUUCCCCAAGCGGCGAUGCCCCUGGCUCCCUGUUCCGCCAUUGCGAGCCGUUAGGGCCAAGCUGGAGGGAGGGCGGCGAGGCGCGGCUGCCGGUAGGGCGGGGCCCUGGGCUGCUGGCGGGGCGGAGGCCGGAGGCGGCCUUGGGCGGGUGGCUUCUCUGGGUCCCACGGUUCCUGCCCAGGCUCUUCGAACCAGGACCAGUGCGGGUAAUGUGAAUUGACACUUGUUCCGGUUCAGGGCUGCCCCACCCCUGGUUGCCCCAAACCCUGCGGCCUGGUGGGCUUGGGCAAGUGGGCUGGAGUAGCGCUCUGUUAGGAAACGAGUAUGCGAGGGAGGGAGGGUGGGUGUGGUCGAAAUGCCCAAGCCUCGUUUCAAAAAUGAAGACGCAUGACCUUAAAAUUAUUUCUGGAGAAGAAUGCUUGCGCGAGAGGUGUGGGGGGGGGGGCGGGGAGCGGGAUGGAGGGAGGAGUAUAGAGUCUGUUAAAAAUCUGAUAGACACGGACUUGUUAUUUAUUCCGGAAAUAUCUAACGAGGCCCACCAGGUUCAAGGCACUGGGGAAGGACCAGGGUCGUGCAUUUGAAAAGCUUACCUUAGUGGAAUAGACUGGCUGAAGCAAACAAACAAGGUAAUGACAGGUGUAGUAUGGCUUUGCAGGAAACACACAGAGUGAUGAAAAAGAUUUUGUAGACGAAGCCUCUGGCUGGAUAGGAUGGCUAAAAAAGACCUCUAGGAGGAAGUGAUAGUUGAGGAGCCUCCUGACAAAAAAGGCACGAAAUACACCUAACCACGACUUUACAUACAGGGACUGCAGAUUCCAGAACCCCCUGAAUAAGCCCACUAAUUCCAUGUUGAGCACCUGUCUCUAAAGCCUUCUAAGGGCUGUUUCUGUGCUGCCCACUUCCCCUGCAAUUUCAGAAGGCUUGAUCACCCUUACAGUUUAUGGGGGCUGGCACUGUGGCACUAAUGGGGGAGGUUCGAGAGACAGGGAGAAUUAUACCCAUCAGCUUUGAGAGACAAAUUCUUUACCUUUUCACUGUUUCUAUGUCACUAUAUUUCUCAGAGUCAUGAGUAAACAUUAAAACUAUGAUUUUUACGUUGGCAUGUUGUGAUCUGAAUAAAAUGAUUAAUGACAUCUUUUGCCAAAUUUGUUGAAGACAAAGUGAGAGGAUCUAUUCAGAUGCAGUACCUGAAUAAUACCAAAAACCCAACACGUAUUAAAUAUUAACGACAUAAUUAAUAGAUUGUCUGGAUAAUACAUUAGAUUCUCUUGCCCUUUUAAUUUUUCUCCUUAGCCACUUGUUUUGAUUCAUGCAAACCAGCAGAAAUAUUUUGCAUUGUGUUUCUGGGAAAAGGGACUGGGAGGUAGCUAACACUUAAUCACCUUCUAUUUACACAGCAUUGUGCUUCCAGUAUUAGGACUAACCUUGAGAUAUGGGUAUCAUUAUACCCACUUUAGUAACAAAGACAUUGAGAUUCAGAGAGAUUGUGACAUACCUAAGGUAGCAAAACUAGUAGCUGGAAGAGCCAAAAUUUGAACUCAGAUCUCUCUGGCCCUACUAAAUGCAUCACCAUAAAUUAUUUCAUGGGCAAUCUUUCCCUGCACCUUAAUUGAUUUAUUUCUGCCAAAUGUAUGUGUUCCUAGAUCUUUAUGGAAUAUUCUGACAUGGGAAUGCCCCCAGGUCUGUGAGGACUGGCUUCUCUGGGGUUGUAUCAAUAGAUGAAGGAAAAUUUUGCAGUUGUUUAUACAGUUUGGGGGGUUGAGGUGGUACAAUUUGUACAUUUUUGUUCCUUUCAUAGCAAAUUCUUCAGUUUUCUUUGAUGAGGCCAAGCAAUAAAUUUUUUCCUUUCUUAAGAGCAAAUACUUAUUUUUGUGGUUUUCACAAAAGUUGUCUUUCACAAACACGGUAAUACUGUGUUUCACACUGCACAUCUCUAAGAUGUGAAAGAUCAUUAGUUCAAACAUUAAAAGUAGGAUACCACUUUUGAAAGCCUAAUAUUUGUAUUGGUAAAGUGUGUCUGGUCCAGGCACAAUGGCUCACACCUGUAAUCCCACUACUUUGGGAUGCCAAGACAGGUGAAUUGCAUAAGCUUAGGAGUUCAUGACCAGCCUGGGGAACAUGGUGAAACCUUGUCUCUACAGAAAAUUAGCUGGGCAUGGUGGCAUGUGCCUGUUAGUCUCAGCUACUUGGGAGACCCAGGUGGGAGGAUUGCUUGGGCCCAGGAGGUCAAGGCUGCAGUAAGAUGUGAUCGUACCACUGUCCUCCAGCCUGCAUGACAGAGCAGGACCCUGUCUCCAAAAAAAAAAGUGUGUCUGUGUGUGUGUUAGAAACAUUUUUCUAAUUUUAUUUAACUCCUUACAAGCCUAUGGAAACCUGGCAAUGUAAUUGUCUUUUACUGUGUAUAUUUGUUUUAAGUUCUCCUUCUAAGAAUUCCUAUCUAGAUUUAUUUUUUCAUGUUGUUAUUUUUUUCUUUUUUACUUUUUAUUUGGAUAUAAUUAUUAAAAAGUUGCAAAAAUAGUAUAGCGGGCAUGUGUAGUAUUUGCCCAGUUUACCCUAUUGAUAUCUUACAUAUCUAUAAUACCUUAUUAAAACCAGGAAAUUGACAUACUACAGUCUUUAGGUUUUUAAUUUAUUUUUAUGUUUCAUAUCAAAAAGUUUCCAUUUUGCAGUAAUUCAUUUUUAUUAUAUUUGACUUGGCCCUUCCUCUCCUAAAUUAGCAAAUGUUAAUAAGCUUGUCCUAGUGCUCAUCUUGAAUUACAAGUUUAUUUUUAAAAUUAUCUGGGUCAACACAAUUGAAAGUGAUUUAUUUGUAAGGUGGUUGCUUUCUCUGGUCAUACUGUUCCAUGUCAUCCUGCCCUAAUAAACCUGCAACAUUAUACAACUUGUGUGUGUAUAUUUUAACACAUCUUCUGACCACUGCAGUUUUUUCACAGAUUGUUAUCAAAGGAAAACAGAGGAAUACAAGACUCGUCAUUUGACUGGAUUUUUUAAAAAAGUUUCUAAACAUCUAACUGUCAAAACAAGAAUACUGGGUGGGCAUGGUGGCUAACGCCUUGUAAUCCAGCACUUUGAGGGGCCAAGGUGGGCAGAUACCUUGAGCAAGAGUUCUAGACCAACCUGGGCAACAUGGUGAAAUCCUGUCUCUACAAAAAAAAAAAAAUAUAGCUGGUUGUGGUGGUCCACACCUGUAGUCCCAGCUACUCCAGAGGCUGAGGUGGGUGGAGCACUUGAGUCCUGGAGGUCAAAGCUGCAGUGAGCCAUGACUACACCACUGCAAGCCAGCCUGGGUGACAGAGCAAGAUCCUACCUCAAAAAAAAAAAAAAAAAAAAAAAAAAAGAAUGCUGUGGUUUGUUGGUUAGUGUGCAAAAUCUCACUUAUGGCUAAUUCUGGUUCUACAUGGAUUCUCCUACCCAGGGCACUCACCCUUUACUCCACCAGAGAAUAAACAGGGAAAAAAUGAAGGCUAAAUUACUUUGUUCAAUCUUAGUCUUGAGGAAAGGUUGAUGAAAGGGGAAAAUUUGGGACUUUGUGUAGGUAUCAAUUAUGUUAUGAGCACCUAAUCACUGAUUAUCAAGUGACGGUUUUUCUGCAUUAUGUACUUACUAUAAAUGAGUAAAAAACAUCCUUCAUAUUAUAGCUUAUUUAACAAACUAUUAUUUAUCUGCUGUGUAUCAGCAGAUAAAUCAAGCACCCAAUUAGGUACUUGACACAGGGACAAAACAAUCUCUGCUCUUAAGGAGCUAGAAUUCCAGAGUUUCUGUUGAUAUAUAUUUUUUUAAUGUUAAGCUCUCACUAUGUGCUAGAUAAUUUGCAAAUGCUAGACAUCCGACGGGAAGCAAAAACAAAAAUGUUUCUUUUUCUUAUGAAACUGGUAAGUUAGACAAUCUCACAAAAGUACCUUUAAAAUCUAACAGGUAUUACAAAGGGUAGGUAUGUGCUGCCAUGAGGGCAUAAAAGCAUUGGGACUUGACCUAACCUGAGGUAUCAGAAAUGCCUUCUCCUGGGAAUAGAUGUUUCAAGCCGAGAUUUAAAAGUGCCUCAGAGUAUAAACUACAUGCAGAGGUGGGGGAAAGCAAGAAAGCACAAAUAGACCUCAUGAUAGAAGCAACAGAGUCCCAGGGACUGAAAUGAGAGAAUGUGAGAUGAGUCUGGAGAGUUAAGGGUCCACCAUUCAGGGUCUUAGAGGCUGUGGUAAAGAUUCUAAUCUUUGUUCCGAAAUCUGCAAACCAAUCGAGUUUUUAGUGAGAGCAACAUGAUCAGAUUUGUAUUUUCAAAAGACCACUCUGACUUCAAUGUUAAGAAUUCAUUCAUGCAUAGUGUCAUGCACCUGUGGUCCCAGCUACUCGGGAGGCUGAGGCACAAGAAUCGCUUGAACCGGGGAGGCGUAGGCUGCAGUGAGUCGAGAUCAUGGCACUGCACUCCAGCCUGGGCCACAGAGUAAGACUUUGCUUCAAAAAAGAAAAAUUUUUUAAAAAGAAUUCAUUUUUGGCCAGGUGUGGUAGCUCACAACUGUAAGCCCAGCACUUUGGGAGGCCAAGGUGAGAGGAUUGCUUGCGCCCAGGAGUUUGAGACCAGCCUAAGCAAUAUAGUGGGACCCCAUCUCUACAAAAUAUAAAAAAAUGAAAACAUUAGCCAAGUGUGGUGGUGCGCACCUGUAGUCUCAGCUACUCAUUCUUUAAAUAAAUGCAUCCUGAAGGCCUGCUAUAGACCAAAUCCUACUCUGCACACAGAGCACACGGCAGUGGACAACAGACAAAUUCCCUAUCUGUGAGGAUCUUACAUACAAUAUACAAAUCAUAAAUAAGAUAAUAGUGCUGUAAGAAUAUUGGAACAGGGUGAGAAUGAAAGGGUAGGGUGGAGUUGCUAUUUUAUAAGCUUGAAUCCUAUGAAAUUACUGAUUUUUAAAAAUAAUUUUUGACCUGAGAAUGACAUUACACCUUAGGUUUGAAUGGUUCAAUCCAGUUGUGUGACAUUAGGGUCAUAUGGUUCAACUUAAUACUUGGAAGAGUCAGAACUAAUGAGGUGAUCGAAAGAAAGAGAAGCAAGCCAUGUAAAUACCUGGGAGAAGAGCAUUUGAAGCAAAGGAACAGCAAGUGCAAAGGCCCUAAAACAAAAAUGUGCCUGCCAUGUUUAAGGAGCAGUAACAAGGCUGAAGAGUAAAGGACAAGUGGGAAGAAUGGUAACAGAGGCCAGAUCAUACUGGUGACCAUGGUAACAAAUUGGCUUUUCUCCUUUUUUUUUUCCCCCUUAAGACAGGGUCUCACUUUGUCACUCAGGCUGGAGUGCAAUGGCGUGCUCAUAGCUCACUGCAGUCCUGAACUUCUGGGCUCAAGUGAUCUUCCUGCCUUAGCUUCCUUAGUAACUGGGACUACAGGCAUCCAGCACCACGCCCAGCUAAGUUUUUUUUUUUAAGAGAUGGUAUUUCAUUAUGUUGCCCAGGCUGGUCUUAAACUCCCGCCCGCAAGUGAUCCUCCCACCUCAGCCUCCUAAAGUCUUCCAAAAUGCUGGGAUUACAGACGUGAGCUAUCACGCCCAGCCUGGUUUUUCCUCUUUGAGUAAGCUAAGCCGUGGGAGGGUUUUGAGCAGAGGAACUACACAUCUGCCAUUAUUUAAAGGAGUAUUCUGUUAAUGGUAGAAUAUAAGUGGUGGAUGCAGAAGUGAUUGCUGUAAAAUUCUUUCAACUUUGCUGUGUGUUUGAAAUUUUUCCUAAUAAAAUAAUAGUUUAAACUGGUUAUUGUGAAUAGACUUUAGGGGAGCAAAGGUGAGAGCAGGAAGACCAGUUAGGCUAUAACAAUAAUUCAGGUAGCAGUGGAAGUGGUAGGAAGUGGUUGGGAGCAGAUGUGGUGUUUGAAUUACAAGUCAGUAAUUCAGAGGAAAUACCAGGUAGGAAAUACAAAUGUAUGAAUCCACCUAAAGAUUAGGAAAACAAGGACAAAUGUCUUGAGAAUUAAAAGAAAAUGCUCAGAAGUGUACCCUAAAGCCUCUUACUCAUGCUUUUGUUCUAGGCUGGUUUUGGUUGUAGAUAGUUAUCAGUUAUUAUAUACUGCCAUUCAGAUUAUUUAUAUGUAUUACUGUCCACAACUCACUUGUGUUCUAAAGGGUUUUUUUUAAUAAUGUUCUUGUCUUCCCAAGCAGAUUACA